UAUGAGGUGGAUUUCCCAAAUGUGGUAUGCCAAAAAGCUACUCUGAUCAAAAGAAUGGAAGAGUUGUCAGCACUGGUGGGAGAUAUUGGAGGGGAAGGAUUAGGAGUCAUUACCUUUUCUGGAGGGGAUUAUAAAUUACUAGGAGUGGAUUUAUCAGAGCUGUCUGAGCUGGAGAGAGCCUUGGAGGAAGCAGGACUGGACAAUGAAAUUCCCACCCUCUUCAUAGCAGAGGUGGUACUCACCUACAUGGAAAACAGCAGGUCAGAUGCCUUGAUUCAGUGGGCAGCAGAGCAUUUCUCUCAGGCAUGCUUUCUGCUGUAUGAGCAGAUGCACCCAGAGGACCCCUUUGGACGUGUCAUGCAGCAGCAUUUUAGCCAGCUGAACUCUGCACUUUAUUCUUUGGCACGGUACCCGGAUUGUGAGGCACAGCAGAGGCGCUUUUUUGAAAAGGGCUGGACUGAGUGCAGCGUCAUGGAUAUGAAUGAGUUUUUCACCUGUUGUACUCCAGAAGAUGAGCAGCAAAGAGUGCAGGCCCUGGAGCCUUUUGAUGAAUAUGAGGAGUGGCAUCUGAAAUGUUCUCAUUACUUUGUCUUGACCGCAUCAAAGGGGAUGGAACCUUCCUGGACUCCGUUGUUAUCCAAUAUGACAGUUCCUCAUCGUGAUGGUCCUGUCAGGAUGGCUGGGAGUAUCACUGCAGCAGUGUGUGCAAUGCAGUCUGAAAUUUCUGGCCUGAGACGUUAUGGUCACGACUCUGUUCUUAUAAAACCCAAUGUGAUUCUCACCACUGGAGGCUUUGGGGAGGAGGAUGGACAGCACUGCCGUAUGAGAAAUUUUCAUGUGCUAAUUAAGCAUGGAGGCUACUGGAAAGCUGCCUGUGUGAAAAAGGAAAAUCCUGAUAAAAGAUGGGAUGAGCGUUUGUACCAUACUGUGUCAUGUCUCUCAAACAGUCUGGCCCUGGUGGUAGGAGGACGAACAUCCCCAUCAAGUGCAGGCUUGGGAAUGUUGUGGCUAAAGUUCCCUGAAACCUGUAAUGCCUCGGACCCAGAUGACAUUACAGUGGAGCUUGUAAGUCUGCAGCCUGGUGCUGAACCAGCUUCUUUGCGUUGGAGACACAGUACAACUGAAGUAAUAUUCAAAGGUGAGAAGUACUUGUUUCUGUAUGGUGGCCGCUCUGCUGUGGAGCCUGUGCUAGGGGACUGGUAUUUCCUGCACACUGAAGAACUUUCCUGCACUGUGAUUCCUGUUGAGGGUCCAGUACCAGAAAGCCGUCACUCUCACAGUGCCUGUAGCUGGAAAGGAGGAGUGCUAAUUGCAGGAGGUCUGGGAGCAGCUGAGCAGCCCUUAGGUUCAGUUUUCUUUCUGAGGGAGCUUGAACAUGGCUUUCAGUGGCAGACAGUAGAGACACACCCUCCUCUCAUCCCGAGGUAUUCACAUACUGCACAUGUGCAUGAUGGAAAACUUCUGCUUGUUGGUGGAGUGUGGUUUCACUCAUCCUCUGUGCCAGGCAUCACUGUCAUUGACUUAAUGACUGGUCUCUGCUUGGACUAUACAAUUAACGUGGAGCAUCUGGAGUGGCCAUUAAUGCUACAUAAUCACAGUAGUGUCUUUCUGCCAAAUGAGAAGGAGUUGUUACUUAUUGGCGGUGGUGGGAACUGCUUCUCCUUUGGGACACACCUGAACCCAGAGCCUGUCUCAUUGAGCGUCAGCAACAUCCUGACCAGCCACUGACUGGGACCAAACAGGACUGAACCAUGCUGCUGCACUGUCUCUCUGCAGCUGAUGGGAGGUAUGACAAAGUCAAGAGGGAUGCAGUGUAAACCGUCUGGGCCUUCACAUCUGUCGUGGUUUGACCCCAGCCAGCACCUAAGCACCACGCAGCCGCUUCCCCCUCCCCUCUCCCAGUGGGAUGGGGAGGAGGAAAAAAAAAAGCAGUACAGGCAUCCAAGGGCCAGCCCACGUUCGAGAAGUAGCAUGAGGAUAUCUGUGUUGUCAGUGGAUGAAUCAAGCAUCUUCAGGAGGCCAAGGCCCGGCAUCAAAGUUAAUGAUUCCCGAGACAUCAGAGAUGGACCGACUGUAUGAGCGGGUGCCUGAUGCGGCCACUGACCCCAGAGGCGUGGCACGGGAGCUGCCACGGGAGAUGCUGGUGACAACAUCUAGUGUUAGACUGGGAGCAAGUGAGCAGCAUGCCAUGGUGCUUCUGAGGCGGCUGUCAUUGUGGAAGAGAGGGAUGAGCUGUGCACCAAAGGGCGACGGAGGAGAGGCGAGCAGAGCGCCAUAAGAAGAGCAACCGCUACACGUACUGAAGCCCUGCUUCCCGGGAAGUGGCCAGACAUCACCUGCUGAUGGGAAGUAGAGAAUAAAAUAUUUUGCUUUUCUUUGCUUUUGUGCACAACCUUUGCUUUUGCUUUAUUAAACUGUCCUUAUCUCUACCCAUGAGCCUUUCGUUAUAUUUUCUCUCCCCUGUCCAGUUGAGGAGGGGGAGUGAUAAAGCGGCUUUGGUGCGCACCUGGCAUCUAGCCAGGGUCAACCCACCACAGAGGGAAGAUGUGACUGGUGGCUAUAUGACUACUUUAUGGUUUGGUGUUUUGGUGGUGUGUUUUUUUUGUUUUUUUUUUUUAACUUUGAAGGCGCAAUGCAGGAUAUUAGAACCAGAGCUGACUCAAGCAAGGUGGUACGCAAGCCUCAACAACAUGGCAACCUGUAAAUGGCAGAGGAAGGGUGACACACGUAGCCUCGGAGGGGUGAAGCAGCAUGUUGACAAGCAGUCUGAGAAGGUGCUGUGCAGGGUGCCUUUGAAAUUGGAUGAGCAUUUGAGGUGCCAUAAGCAAUGACAGCCAUAGCGUCUGACUCUGGAAUGAGCAGAGGGACGAGCUGUGUGCCAAAGGGUGACAGAGAAUGGACAAGCAGAGCACCGUGUGAAGCAAUGAGCAAAGCGGGAUAUCGGCACCGGAGCUGACUUGGGCAAGGUGCCGCAAGUGGGCUUGGAGGGGUGAAGCUGCAUGCUGAUGAGCGGUUCUAGAAUGUGAGGCUGUUGUCGGCCCGGUCGGUGUCUAAUAGCAAAGUAUUAUAUGGUGCCGCAAGUGAUGACGGCCGCAGCAUCCGACACUGGGAUUCCUGCAGAGCAGAUGAUGAAGAGGAACCUGGCAACUGCAGGAAUAUCCUGGUUCGCUGAUGUGUUUUUUGUUGAGGAUGGCUUCAGACCCCUGGCCCUCUGAAAGCUAAGUUGAGGGACCGGGGACCACUGCCCUACAGUGUGUAAUUUUGACCUCAGUUGGAAAGAAAUUUUCCAAAAUGGAAAUCUUUCUCAUUCAAAGAAGUUGCAUUUUAUGAACUUCCCAUCAGAGUGGAUCUUCAGAGAUGAUGUGCUUGGUAGCAGAAGUCGCCAGCAGCAAGACU
Molecule: RNA transcript, 3396 nt
Organism: Gymnogyps californianus (California condor)
Lineage: Eukaryota; Metazoa; Chordata; Aves; Accipitriformes; Cathartidae
Gene name: tRNA wybutosine-synthesizing protein 4-like
Exons: 26
Source: RefSeq, a predicted model, not a curated record